Molecule: unclassified non-coding RNA, 377 nt
Filed under: plant metagenome
Description: partial contains 5.8S ribosomal RNA, internal transcribed spacer 2, and large subunit ribosomal RNA
Rfam family: 5.8S ribosomal RNA (bases 1-104)
Source: RNAcentral
AAAUGCGAUAAGUAAUGUGAAUUGCAGAAUUCAGUGAAUCAUCGAAUCUUUGAACGCACCUUGCGCUCCUUGGUAUUCCUUGGAGCAUGCCUGUUUGAGUAUCAUGAAAUCUUCAAAGUAAAUCUUUUGUUAACUCAAUUGGUUUCUACUUUGGUAUUGGAGGUCUUUGCAGCUUCACACCUGCUCCUCUUUGUUCAUUAGCUGGAUCUCAGUGUUAUGCUUGGUUCCACUCGGCGUGAUAAGUUAUGUAUCGCUGAGGACACUGUAAAAGGUGGCCAAGGUAAAUGCAGAUGAACCGCUUCUAAUAGUCCAUUGACUUGGACAAUACUUUUAUGAUCUGAUCUCAAAUCAGGUAGGACUACCCGCUGAACUUAAGC